ACAUUAUGAGUGGAUGUCAGAGAGAUAAAAAGACACACCAAUGCACUCUUAUGUUAUGUUCUUCUGCUAACCAAUGCUGUCUCGUUUUAUUUUUUCUUCUCUCCACAUUUAAGUUUUCUCUCUUUCUCAAACACCCUUAUCUCCCCUCCACUCAAUUAUUACAUUCAUCAAAUUCAAAUGGCUGUGGCUGUGGCUGCUUGCAGCCUUGGACUUCACUUGAGUGUCGAUAACACCUCCAGAGCUUUCGAAAAAAUCACUGCCUUGAAGGCCUCUUCUAUCUAUGAUGCUACUAAACUAUGUUUCAUUACUCACAAAACAAGAUUAUCAUCUUCAGGAAUAACAAUCAUCCCACGAGCAACAGCAGUUACUGGUACUGUGGAGGAUGGAAAUCAAGGUGAGGCUGAUACCAUUCCAACGCCAGUAGUUAUAAUUGAUCAAGACUCUGAUCCAGAUGCAACUGUGGUGGAGAUAACCUUUGGUGAUCGGCUAGGGGCUCUUCUUGACACUAUGAACGCGUUAAAAAACUUAGGGCUCAAUGUUGUUAAGGCAAAUGUCUAUCUGGAUUCUUCUGGCAAACACAACAAGCUUUGCAUCACAAAAGCUGAUUCUGGUAGAAAAGUGGAAGAUCCAGAGUUGUUAGAGGCAAUACGUUUGACAAUUUUAAAUAAUAUGAUUCAGUACCACCCGGAAUCAAGCGCCCAAUUAGCUCUAGGAGCAGCUUUUGGACUCGUGACUCCAAAGGAGCAGGUUGAUGUGGAGAUAGCAACCCACAUAACCAUCACUGAUGACGGCCCAAAUCGAAGUUUGCUCUAUGUGGAGACAGCUGAUCGGCCUGGAUUACUGGUGGAUCUUGUAAAGAUUAUUACUGACAUUAACAUUUCUGUUGAAUCCGGAGAAUUUGACACAGAGGGUCUGUUGGCUAAGGCAAAGUUUCAUGUGAACUACAAGGAUAAAUCCCUCAUAAAGCCUCUCCAGCUGGUUCUUGUUAACAGCUUGCGAUAUUUCUUGAGGCGACCUUCGACUGAGGAAAGCAGUUUUUGAGUGGCAUGCAUGAUGCAUCCAUCGUAUUUGCCUCUCGAAUGUAUUCUUUUCCAUUUGGAGGACAAUAUUUGCGCCUUCCUAAGAGUGUGAAGAUUUGAGUUGAGUGGUGGUUUGGUGAUUCAAAGCUUUAAAAGCUAGGAACUGAGGCUUCUGAGGUGUUGUGCGGAGUUGCCAAGAGAGUGAGCUCAAAAUUCAUUAUCUUCCUUCUUCAUCUUGUUCGAUAUGAUUUUGAGGGUGAUGACGGUGCGGAUCUUUAGAGCUACCUUGGUGUAGCUAGAUGGUAGCAAUGUUGCUUAAUUGACAACUAGGAUUUUCUUUUUUACCUGAUUAUAGGAUUACUAUAUAUAUAUAUAUACACUUUUAUUUGUAUGUGUAUAUUUUAUGACAUGUAUAUCCAAGUAUUAUAAGUAUGUGAA
Non-coding RNA from Cajanus cajan (pigeon pea), 1457 nucleotides. The record is from RefSeq and is a predicted model, not a curated record. NCBI's taxonomy places the organism in Eukaryota, Viridiplantae, Streptophyta, Magnoliopsida, Fabales, Fabaceae.